RNAcentral lists this ribosomal RNA (253 nucleotides) under uncultured bacterium. RNAcentral describes it as "partial 16S ribosomal RNA". It matches the Rfam family "Bacterial small subunit ribosomal RNA", at positions 524 to 776 of the family's 1533-position model. The record is from RNAcentral.
UACGGAGGAUGCAAGCGUUAUCCGGAUUUAUUAGGUUUAAAGGGUGUGUAGGCGGAUUUUUAAGUCAGGGGUGAAAGCCCACAGCUCAACUGUGGAACUGCCUUUGAUACUGGAAGUCUUGAGUAUAGUUGAGGUAGGCGGAAUGUGCAGUGUAGCGGUGAAAUGCUUAGAUAUUGCACAGAACACCGAUUGCGAAGGCAGCUUACUAAACUAUUACUGACGCUGAUGCACGAAAGCGUGGGGAGCGAACAGG